UUCUGUACUAAUUUUUAUUUGAAAGUAGGAGUAUAAAUAGUUUCUGGAGGCUUCUGGACGUCAAAUUAAGAACUUUCCCGUCCAUUGCCUUCUUUUAUUUCUCACUCUCAGGAGAGAUCCCGAUCAGCGAAGAAAUCACCGAGCUACCCCCAUCAUUUUUUUGGAAAGAACAAGAGGAAUUGAAACUCCAAUUUUCUUUUCUAUAGUGUGUUCUGAAGUUGAAAUGGAUCCUGAAACUGCCCUAGAGCUUGUAAAGCAUGGUGUGACAAUUCUCCUCCUCGAUGUUCCUCAGUACACCCUCGUUGGAAUUGAUACUCAGAUGUUCUCUGCAGGGCCUUCUUUUAAGGGUAUAAAGAUGAUUCCUCCAGGGCCUCAUUUCCUUUAUUACAGCUCAUCGAGCAGAGAUGGCAGAGAGUUUCCACCAAUUACUGGCUUUUUUGUAGACGCUGGUCCCUCUGAGGUUAUUGUUCGGAGGUGGGAUCAGAGGGAGGAGCGCCUGAUAAAAGUAUUAGAAAAAGAGGAGGAGCGAUUUAGGGAAGCAAUUAGAAGAUUGGAGUUUGACAGACAACUUGGUCCGUAUAAUCUGGGUCAAUAUGGAGAAUGGAGGCGUAUAUCUAACCACAUCAACAGUACUACAAUUGAACGACUAGAACCCAUAGGAGGUGACAUUACUGUGGUGUGCGAACCUGGAAUUUCUCAGAGCACUUCCAAGUCAGCAGUAGAGAAAGUUCUGGAGGAUCAGUUGAAGGCUAGUAAGUUUGCAACACCUGUUGAUUCAUCUCAGAGAAGAGGAUGCUAUUACACAAAAAUUCCCCAUGUUAUCAAACAGAGAGGAGUCCAUGGGCAGGAGCUUACUUAUUUAAAUCUCGAUAAGACCUUACUACUAGAAAACUUACUGAAAGAAUAUUUUGGAGGUUCAGAGGACCUACUUCUUGGGGAGCUACAGUUUGCAUUCGUUGUCUUUUUGAUGGGACAAUCACUUGAAGGAUUUCUACAGUGGAAAUCACUAGUUACCCUGUUUUUUGAGUGCACAGAAGCUCCUUUUUGCACAAGGAGUCAACUGUUUACAAAGUUCAUUAAGGUUAUCUACCAUCAAUUGAAAUUUGGAUUAGAGAAAGAUCGUUCUAAUGAUAAAGCAGGAUCAUCAUCAAUAUUGAUAGACGAAUCAUGGUUUUCUGCUGAUAGUUUCUUACAUCAUUUAUGUAAGGAUUUCUUCUCAUUGGUGCUAGAGGCUCCGGUUGUUGAUGGGGAUCUUCUGACAUGGAAUAUUAAUGCACCACAUUCGUCUGUCAGACAAGGAAACUCAAGGAACUGUUAGAGAACAGACUGGGCUGGAAAUUCCAUGAUAUUGCAACUGAUGGAAUUUCCUUUGAUGAAGAUGAUGAGUUUGCUCCUGUAGUUGUGAGGAUGGAUGAGUCUGAGUCGUCCUGAGGUUUUGUAUCGCGUGAUAAAUAUAAAAUAAUGGUUUGUGUGUGAAGGGGCCCUUAUGACUACAUCAUUGCCCAACCCCAAUUAGCAAGACCCAACUCGUACUUUAGUCCUGGCGCGCUAUUCUUGGUGUACCUUUCUCCUCAUCGCUCCUUUUCUUUAAUUUGUUUUAUUAGAUCCUUAUAAAUAUAACAAUUAAAUUUAAAAUAUUAAUAUAUAUAAUAAUUUUUUUUAAAAAAGUUGCAAAUAUAACAAAAUUUGUUACCAAUGAAUAUUGGUGUUUCACUAAUAGACUAGAUUUAAAAUCUAUCACCGAUAAUAGUCUAGACUUUGUUAUAUUUACAAUUUUCUUUCAAAAAAAAAUGUUGCUAUGCACUUAACUAUUAUCCAUAAAAUUUCUAUUAAUUAGGGAGCUCUUUGUUUUUCAUAUAUCUCACAAAUAUGGAUUUGACUAAGUCGCUUACUGUCGAUUCAAAGGUUUCCUAACAUACAUCCUCUUGUUGUGUUAAGAUCAUAAUAUCAUCCUUCUCAACAACAUAAACAUGGGAGGGAUAUGGAUAUCAUCCACUCCAUCACAUGUGUGAUUAAUGAGCAUACUCAUCUGAAGAUUCUUCAUUAUUCAUAUUGAAGUUCUGUUCAUCUAACUUUUUAUUCUUCCCUUCCCCACACUGGAUUUGUUUCCAUCGUAACAUAGUUUUCUUGUGUUUCUUUUCUCCCCCUUGCUUGAUGCCAAACAAACAUAGCUUAAAUGUAGAGUUGACUACCUUUCAGAAUGGGGAGUAAUCUUCAAAUUAUCAUUCCAAACUAACCAAAACCUCAACUAGGGCGGAGCACGAUUGGAUUUAACUCUGCUCUUGGGUUGAUACAUAACCUAUGAUGAAAGGUGUACCUAAAUUUUGAUUCGAGUAUGAAAUCCCCGUUUACAUUCAUCCAA
This is an RNA transcript of Cucumis melo (muskmelon), 2362 nucleotides long. RefSeq lists it as uncharacterized. NCBI's taxonomy places the organism in Eukaryota, Viridiplantae, Streptophyta, Magnoliopsida, Cucurbitales, Cucurbitaceae. The transcript has 14 exons. The record is from RefSeq and is a predicted model, not a curated record.